UUGUAGCAGAGUUGACAAAGCGUUUGGCUUUCGCCCGGGAGGCACGGGGUUCGAUCCCC
Molecule: transfer RNA, 59 nt
Filed under: Proteomonas sulcata
Lineage: Eukaryota; Cryptophyceae; Pyrenomonadales; Geminigeraceae
Source: RNAcentral